CCUUGUUUAACAAUCCCAUUGUUUAAACAAAGAUAGAAAGCAGUAGGGUUUUUUGAAAGUUCUUUUAUAUUUACUGAGUAAACUUAUUGAUAGAUGAUUUUUUAAAAAUGAAAACUGUCAUCUGCCCUGAAAUUCAAAGCCAUUCAGUCCAUCUGUGCACUUAUGUUUUAGGAUAUAGCAAAGGAAGAAAAAAAAAUGUAGUGGGCAAAAGAAAGAUGGUGAAUGACAAUACAGUGUUUUUAGAAGUUUCAGUCACUCAUUUAUUGCAUGCUAGGAUCUUUUCUAGGCUCUGGGGAUACAAAAAGAAUUGGGAGAGGGUCCUAGCCAUUUUGGAGCUCACAGUCUAAUAAGGGAGACAGGUAGCUUAACAAGCACAUGAUACAUGCUAUAGACUGAAUGUUUGUGUCCCCACAAAAUUCAUAUGUUGAAACCUAAUCUUCGUGUGAUAAUAUUUGAAGGUAGGGUCUUUGGGAGGUGAUUAGGCCAUGAGGGUGGAGCCCUCAGGAAUGGGAUUAGUGCCCUCAGAAAAGAGGCUCUAGAGAGCAACCUCACUCCUCCUGCCAUCCAUGGGAGAAGACGCCCAUCUAUCAACCAGAAAGUGGACACUCACCAGCCAUGAACCUGUCAGCACCUUGAUCUUGAACUUCCCACCCUCCAGAACUGUUAAGAAAUAAAUUUCUUUUGUUUAUAAGCCA
Long non-coding RNA from Physeter macrocephalus (sperm whale), 695 nucleotides. RefSeq lists it as uncharacterized. NCBI's taxonomy places the organism in Eukaryota, Metazoa, Chordata, Mammalia, Artiodactyla, Physeteridae. The record is from RefSeq and is a predicted model, not a curated record. The transcript has 2 exons.